This 200-nucleotide ribosomal RNA is filed under the name uncultured bacterium. RNAcentral describes it as "partial 16S ribosomal RNA". It matches the Rfam family "Bacterial small subunit ribosomal RNA", at positions 328 to 539 of the family's 1533-position model. The record is from RNAcentral.
ACGCUCGACACCUACGGGAGGUAGCAGUGGGGAAUAUUGCACAAUGGGGGAAACCCUGAUGCAGCGACGCCGAACGUGAGCGAAGAAGUAUUUCGGUAUGUAAAGCUCUAUCAGCAGGGAAGAAACUGACGGUACCUGACUAAGAAGCACCGGCUAAAUACGUGCCAGCAGCCGAGGUAAUCUGAGCGGGCUGGCAAGGC